UUGCAGGAGCCUCCCGGGCUAGUCUGAUAAUAGUAAUUCAUGAGGAAUUAAGCCCCAAAGCUCCUGCUAGAUUGGUGCCAUUCGUGUUGCAGUUCUGUCUCAAAUCUUAUCUGGCUUAACUGUGUCAAAGCAAUGUCUAGAUUU
Molecule: small nucleolar RNA, 144 nt
Filed under: Brassica napus (rape)
Lineage: Eukaryota; Viridiplantae; Streptophyta; Magnoliopsida; Brassicales; Brassicaceae
Description: snoRNA snoR134
Rfam family: small nucleolar RNA snoR134
Source: Rfam by way of RNAcentral